UUUACAUGAAAAGGUUAAUCCACCAGUUCUAUAAUUUAGUUCUUCAAAAAGUACUUAAAUAAACUGGUGGCAUAUCGCAAGUCUAUAAUUUGUAUAUGAUCUGUCUUUUAUUGUUUUAUGGUGAAUCAUUGAUCUGUCUUUGUAUAAAUUGGUGGCAUAUCGCAAGUCUAUAAUUUGGCGGCAACCCGUUUUGAUGGUAGUGUAGCAUUAAAUACUGAUGUAAUUGAGAGAAAAGGAUGACCUGGAGGUCGCAAACUUGAAGGAUUAUUCAACAACGGUGCUAAAGAAAGAAAACAAUGUAGCGACUUCACCAACGACAAUUGCCACCUUAACUGAUACUACACUUGCAGUGACUCCCGGUAUCAGCAGUGAAGACGCCACAUCAGAAGAUGAAAGUAAUUUUUACAGCUAUGAUUCAAAUUACAUGUAUGUUAACACAUACGAUCCUAGGAUGUUAACAUUUAGUAAAAUAGCUUUGCUUUUUUGCAGGCCAGUCGCAAACAAGCAAUGUCAGUUUAUGGUGAUGGAAAACAAGCAUGAAGUUUUCAAUACGUCUUUGACUUGGUAAUUUUAUGGAGCUAUACAUACUGAUGGUUGUUUGGGGGGAGUUAACGGGCUCUCAUAUUCAUUGUUUUUCAUGGAGCUUAUCUGGAGCAUGUCUUACUGGGAUGAAGUUGAAAAUUUAAAUAGCAUUAGGAAGAACAAGGAUUCUUAUUUCCCUUAUCAAGGUAUACACUUGACAUUAUUGAAUUGAUUGUUCGAUAUGGAUGGAUGUGUUAGGCUUAUUCCUGUUGUUCAAAAUGGCUUAUC
RNAcentral lists this long non-coding RNA (810 nucleotides) under Helianthus annuus (common sunflower). RNAcentral's name for it is "sRNA HanXRQr2_Chr11g0508361". The record is from RNAcentral. Lineage: Eukaryota; Viridiplantae; Streptophyta; Magnoliopsida; Asterales; Asteraceae.